AACGUAGGGGACAAGCGUUAUCCGGAUUUACUGGGCGUAAAGCGCCCGUAGGCGGCCUGACAAGUUGGACGUGAAAGCUCCUGGCUUAACUGGGAGAGGCCGUUCAGAACUGUCAAGCUAGAGUCUGGAAGAGGAGAGCGGAAUUCCCGGUGUAGUGGUGGAAUGCGUAGAGAUCGGGAGGAACACCAGUGGCGAAAGCGGCUCUCUGGUCCAAAACUGACGCUGAGGGGCGAAAGCGUGGGGAGCGAACGGG
This 253-nucleotide ribosomal RNA is filed under the name uncultured bacterium. RNAcentral describes it as "partial 16S ribosomal RNA". It matches the Rfam family "Bacterial small subunit ribosomal RNA", at positions 524 to 776 of the family's 1533-position model. The record is from RNAcentral.